Vigna radiata var. radiata (mung bean) is the source of this 1844-nucleotide RNA transcript. RefSeq lists it as uncharacterized. Lineage: Eukaryota; Viridiplantae; Streptophyta; Magnoliopsida; Fabales; Fabaceae. The record is from RefSeq and is a predicted model, not a curated record. The transcript has 9 exons.
AUUUUGUAUUAUUUUGCUGCUAAUGUCAGGGAAAUCAAGCAUAUAAAGAUAGGCAGUGGCAGAAAGCCAUUGGAUUUUACACAGAAGCUAUCAAACUCUGUAGUGAUAAUGCAACGUACUAUAGUAAUAGGGCUCAAGCGUAUCUAAAACUUGGAAGGUUGAACAUCCUGUUACUGAGUGGAUAGCAGAGAUAAAUCUGCCUGCAGCCCAAGUUGUCGUUGGAAUGGGUGUCCCCCUCUGGCAAAUUCCUGAUAAGGCGUUUCUAUGGGGUGGAGCAUGGUGGGUGGUAUGAUGCUUGGAGAAAAACUUCAGCUUUAGCUACCCCUUUUGAUUUUGACAAAGCACAAACCACAAAGCCAAAAGGUGUGAAAAAGUCUAUCUUGCAUGGCUUAUUCAAACUUGGACAUAAGGGAAGGUGGCAGUGGUUGUGCCAUUUGGUUUGGUGAUCUCAUUGAUUUGAAAUUGGUUCAAGCAAGCCGACAAGACAUAUACAUUCAAAUGGCUGUUUCAGGUAACUAUGUUGCAUGUUUUCUUGUUCGAAAUAUUAGAAUUGUUGUGUCUGCUUCAUCAUCAUACACAUGAAAUUUGAAAGAUGCAGGUUCAGAUGAAAUUUUUCUUAUUAAUUUCCUUAAGAAAAAGAAAGCAUAAAGGUAAGUUUCUUGCAUGUUUCUUAAGUCAAAGCUUUGGAUUUUUAUUUUUAAUGAUUUUGUUUCUAUAUUUAUAUGUAGNAAAUGAACACNGCACAAAGAAUGUUGUAUCAACCNAAGAUGAUGAAGAAAACCAAGAUGUUGAGCUUCCUUUGUUUGAUCUCGCUUUAAUAUCCGUUGCUACCAAUGGUUUCUCAGAAGAUAACAAGCUUGGAGAAGNUGGUUUUCGACCAGUAUAUAAGGGUAUACUCCCAAAUGGAAGAGAUAUUGCGAUCAAAAGACCCUCAACGAGUUCAUCUCAAGGGAUCAAAAGAAUUCAAGAAUGAAGUUAUAUUGUGUGCAAAACUUGAACAUGAAAUCUUGUUAAGAUUUUUGGUUGUGGUAUUCAAGAAGAAGAGAAAAUGUUAAUAUAUGAAUACAUGCCCAACAAAAGCUUAGAUUCAUUUAUUUUCGUUUCUGUAACCGGAGAGGAGUCCCAAGCGCACGUGACCGGAGAUUCUUCUUCAAGGAGAUGAAGAUGAUCGGUGGGUGGAAAAGCAAAGUGGUACGAUCGGAGACCGCUCGAUCAAGAAGAAGAAGCGUCAAGGCUGGUUUGAGUGUGGGGAACGAGAGAAUGAGUAAGGUGUUGUCGAAGGAGAAAACUCGAAGGGUUAAGGCAAGGAGGCAGUCACAGAGCUCCGGGAACAAGUACCUGAGGCCGGGGACCUUGAUUUUAUAUCCCCUUAGUUUCCACCUAAGACUGGAGUUAAUGCAUAGCACCUACUGUAAAUGGAGGUUCAUUAGAUAGUGCAAGUAUGGGUUUGCAGAGAUAUCAUGAUCCAGCUGGGAGCCGAAAUGGCCUCAGGUUUCCUCACCCUCUUCNUGUCAACCAACAGCACCACAAUUAUCAUCACCCAGCAAUGCCUAUGCAAGGAGUAAGAGGUCAUAAUAUCAACUUUCACCCUGCAGUAACUGCAGCAUCAUUUAGAGUUCCAAUAAAUCCUUCACGCGGUGUUGCUAUUCCACCGCAGCCUGGUUUUGAGCUAGGUCCUAGGCAUGUUGGCCCUGCACCAUGAGCCGGCUUCCGGAUUUAUCGACCUCAUAGGGGGAUUGUGCCUGAGACAACUCUUGGACACGAAAGUCUUCCACCUGUGGGCUUCCUCCAAGUUGAUGAUGUUGCUUUAAUUGAUGAAGUGGGAAAUUUAGUUGACCAUCACA